Molecule: ribosomal RNA, 395 nt
Filed under: uncultured bacterium
Lineage: Bacteria
Description: partial 16S ribosomal RNA
Rfam family: Bacterial small subunit ribosomal RNA
Source: RNAcentral
CCUACGGGUGGCAGCAGUGAGGAAUAUUGGUCAAUGGGCGGGAGCCUGAACCAGCCAAGCCGCGUGAGGGAAGAAGGUACAGCGUAUUGUAAACCUCUUUUGUCAGGGAACAACGUCGGGCACUUGUCCCCGGCUGAGUGUACCUUAAGAACAAGCAUCGGCUAACUCCGUGCCAGCAGCCGCGGUAAUACGGAGGAUGCGAGCGUUAUCCGGAUUUAUUGGGUUUAAAGGGUGCGCGGGCGGCCUGUUAUGUCAGCGGGAAAAGCCCGGGGCUCACCCCCGGCGGGCCGUUGAAACUGGCGGGCUGGAGUUGGGGAGAGGUAAGCGGAAGGCGCGGUGUAGCGGUGAAAUGCUUAGAUAUCGCGCAGAACGCCGAUUGCGAAGGCAGCGUACCG